RNAcentral lists this ribosomal RNA (405 nucleotides) under uncultured bacterium. RNAcentral's name for it is "bacterial SSU rRNA". It matches the Rfam family "Bacterial small subunit ribosomal RNA", at positions 355 to 774 of the family's 1533-position model. The record is from RNAcentral.
UGGGGAAUAUUGGGCAAUGGGGGAAACCCUGACCCAGCGACGCCGCGUGGAGGAAGGAGCCCUUCGGGGUGUAAACUCCUGUUGUAAGGGAAGAAGGCAGUGACGGUACCUUACGAGGAAGCCCCGGCAAACUACGUGCCAGCAGCCGCGGUAACACGUAGGGGGCGAGCGUUGUCCGGAAUUACUGGGCGUAAAGCGCACGCAGGCGGAUGCGCGCGUCGGCUGUGAAAUGCACCGGCUCAACCGGUGCACUGCGGUCGAUACGGCGCGUCUGGAGUGCGGGAGAGGGAAGCGGAAUUCCCGGUGUAGCGGUGAAAUGCGUAGAUAUCGGGAGGAACGCCGGUGGCGAAGGCGGCUUCCUGGCCCGCAACUGACGCUCAUGUGCGAAAGCCAGGGGAGCGAACC